This 251-nucleotide ribosomal RNA is filed under the name uncultured prokaryote. Its description in RNAcentral is "partial 16S rRNA". It matches the Rfam family "Bacterial small subunit ribosomal RNA", at positions 525 to 775 of the family's 1533-position model. The record is from RNAcentral.
ACGUAGGAGGCAAACGUUAUCCGGAUUUACUGGGCGUAAAGCGCGUGUAGGUGGUUCUGUAAGUAGGGCGUGAAAGCUCCUGGCUCAACUGGGAGAGGCCGUUCUAAACUGCAGAGCUAGAGGAUGGUAGAGGGAGGUGGAAUUCCGGGUGUAGCGGUGGAAUGCGCAGAUAUCCGGAGGAACACCAGUGGCGAAGGCGGCCUCCUGGGCCAUUACUGACGCUCAGGCGCGAAAGCGUGGGUAGCAAACAG